RNAcentral lists this transfer RNA (72 nucleotides) under Caudoviricetes sp. RNAcentral describes it as "tRNA-Met". It matches the Rfam family "tRNA". Rfam says of the family: Transfer RNA (tRNA) molecules are approximately 80 nucleotides in length. Their secondary structure includes four short double-helical elements and three loops (D, anti-codon, and T loops). Further hydrogen bonds mediate the characteristic L-shaped molecular structure. tRNAs have two regions of fundamental functional importance: the anti-codon, which is responsible for specific mRNA codon recognition, and the 3' end, to which the tRNAs corresponding amino acid is attached (by aminoacyl-tRNA synthetases). tRNAs cope with the degeneracy of the genetic code in two manners: having more than one tRNA (with a specific anti-codon) for a particular amino acid; and 'wobble' base-pairing, i.e. permitting non-standard base-pairing at the 3rd anti-codon position. Lineage: Duplodnaviria; Heunggongvirae; Uroviricota; Caudoviricetes. The record is from RNAcentral.
CGUGGCGUGGAGCAGAGGAAGCUCGCCAGUCUCAUAAGCUGGAGGUCACCGGUUCGAGUCCGGUCGCCGCAA